AGCACCAUGGCGCAGCGGAAGCGCGCCGGGCUCAUAACCCGGAGGACCUCCGAUCGAAACGGAGUGGUGCUA
Molecule: transfer RNA, 72 nt
Organism: Pestalotiopsis fici W106-1
Lineage: Eukaryota; Fungi; Ascomycota; Sordariomycetes; Amphisphaeriales; Sporocadaceae
Rfam family: tRNA
About the family: Transfer RNA (tRNA) molecules are approximately 80 nucleotides in length.
Source: Rfam